Molecule: long non-coding RNA, 572 nt
Organism: Dendroctonus ponderosae (mountain pine beetle)
Lineage: Eukaryota; Metazoa; Arthropoda; Insecta; Coleoptera; Curculionidae
Exons: 2
Source: RefSeq, a predicted model, not a curated record
CCGGCCUAUAAGAUUGCGGUGGAUUGAAAUCGGAUCGAAUGAGCAAGACGGCUUAUUUUCGCCGCUCGAAUGUUGCCGAAAAUUAGCAUAUAAAUUGCCUGGUCGUGGACUGCACCGAAAACGCAUUCUGCGCUCGUUUACUCGAUCCCGAAGGGGGUGUUUUAAUGGAAAACAUGCGCCAAACCAUCCGUUAAUUGCAUCUGAAAGGAGCAAGACGUGUGACAGUUGAUUCCUGUCAAGGAGCGGUUUUGCUCAAUUAAAAAAAAAAGAACUGAAAAUGCCGGCGAAGAACUGCAUUUAAAUGAGCAAUUUUGGCAACGUCCAAUGAAACCUCUCAGCCUGUCGAUGCUCCUCCCCGUGGUUCUACGAGGACUACGCAAAUCGUACGGCAGGCAAACUCUACAUGAAAGUGCCUUGCGACUGAUGGGCGCAAUGAGAAACUUCAUCAGCAAUAAAACUCUUGGACCUGGAGGAAACUUAAACCCCGACAAGACCCUUACUCAAGUCGAAACUUGCUCCGCAAAAUUGCCGGCCUUUUAAAGUUAAUAAAUUCUUCAUUGUGCUGCCUUGUA